Molecule: ribosomal RNA, 270 nt
Filed under: uncultured bacterium
Lineage: Bacteria
Description: partial 16S ribosomal RNA
Rfam family: Bacterial small subunit ribosomal RNA
Source: RNAcentral
GAUGAACGCUAGCGGCAGGCUUAACACAUGCAAGUCGAGGGGCAGCGCGGUAGCAAUACUGGCGGCGACCGGCAAACGGGUGCGGAACACGUACGCAAUCUACCGUUGUCUGGGGUAUAGCCCCGAAGAAAUUCGGAUUAACCCCCCAUAAGAUAUUAGAGUGGCAUCACUUAGAUAUUAAAUCUCCGGAGGACAAUGAUGAGCGUGCGUCCCAUUAGCUAGUUGGUAGGGUAACGGCCUACCAAGGCGACGAUGGGUAGCUGGUGUGAG